RNAcentral lists this ribosomal RNA (152 nucleotides) under Coprinopsis rugosobispora. RNAcentral describes it as "5.8S ribosomal RNA". It matches the Rfam family "5.8S ribosomal RNA". Rfam says of the family: 5.8S ribosomal RNA (5.8S rRNA) is a component of the large subunit of the eukaryotic ribosome. It is transcribed by RNA polymerase I as part of the 45S precursor that also contains 18S and 28S rRNA. RNAcentral also lists the same sequence under 1 other name. The record is from RNAcentral. Lineage: Eukaryota; Fungi; Basidiomycota; Agaricomycetes; Agaricales; Psathyrellaceae.
UUCAGCAACGGAUCUCUUGGCUCUCGCAUCGAUGAAGAACGCAGCGAAAUGCGAUAAGUAAUGUGAAUUGCAGAAUUCAGUGAAUCAUCGAAUCUUUGAACGCACCUUGCGCUCCUUGGUAUUCCGAGGAGCAUGCCUGUUUGAGUGUCAUU